This 173-nucleotide ribosomal RNA is filed under the name uncultured bacterium. Its description in RNAcentral is "partial 16S ribosomal RNA". It matches the Rfam family "Bacterial small subunit ribosomal RNA", at positions 358 to 525 of the family's 1533-position model. The record is from RNAcentral.
AGGAGAUUGCGAAUGGGCGCAGCCUGAUGCAGCCAUGCCGCGUGUGUGAAGAAGGCCUUCGGGUUGUAAAGCACUUUCAGCCAGGAGGAAGGUGGUGAGCUUAAUACACUCAUCAAUUGACGUUCCCCGCAGAACAAGCACCGGCUAACUCCGUGCCAGCAGCCGCGGUAAUA